This 520-nucleotide ribosomal RNA is filed under the name Idiocerinae gen. n. sp. 5 QX-2018. Its description in RNAcentral is "partial large subunit ribosomal RNA". The stretch from base 387 to 520 matches the Rfam family "Archaeal large subunit ribosomal RNA", at positions 2542 to 2676 of the family's 2987-position model. The record is from RNAcentral. Lineage: Eukaryota; Metazoa; Arthropoda; Insecta; Hemiptera; Cicadellidae.
UUAAGUAAAAAAUUUAAAGUAGGUUUUGCCCUAUGAGGAUUAAAUCUUAAAUGGCUGCAGUAUAUUGACUGUGCAAAGGUAGCAUAAUAAUUAGUUUCUUAAUUAGGAGCUGGUAUGAAUGGAUUAAUGAGAGAUUAAUUUUAUUAUUAUUAUUAUUAUAAUUUAAUUUUUAAGUUAAAAAGCUUAAAUUUUUUUUUGGGACGAUAAGACCCUAUAGAACUUUUAAUUCUUUUUGUUAUCUUUAAUUUGGUGAAUUAAAUUAUUUGGGUAAUUUUUUUUAUUUUUUGUUGGGGCGGUGAAUAAAUAUCUAACUUUAUUUUUUUUUUUCAUUAAUAUAUGUUUUUUUGAUCUUACUUUUGUGGAUUAUAAGAUAAAGUUACCUUAGGGAUAACAGCGUAAUUUUAAUGGUAAGUUCAUAUUUAUAUUAAAGUUUGCGACCUCGAUGUUGAAUUAAAAUAAAAUUAAGGGGUAGGUUCUUUAAAUUUAGGUCUGUUCGACCUUUAAAUUCUUACAUGAUCUG